UCGAGCGGAGAUGAGGUGCUUGCACCUUAUCUUAGCGGCGGACGGGUGAGUAAUGCUUAGGAAUCUGCCAUUUAGUGGGGGACAACAUUCCGAAAGGAAUGCUAAUACCGCAUACGUCCUACGGGAGAAAGCAGGGGAUCUUCGGACCUUGCGCUAAAUGAUGAGCCUAAGUCGGAUUAGCUAGUUGGUGGGGUAAAGGCCUACCAAGGCGACGAUCUGUAGCGGGUCUGAGAGGAUGAUCCGCCACACUGAGACUGACACACGGCCCAGACUCCUACGGGAGGCAGCAGUGGGGAAUAUUGGACAAUGGGCGGAAGCCUGAUCCAGCCAUGCCGCGUGUGUGAAGAAAGCCUUUUGGUUGUAAAACACUUUAAGCGAGGAAGACGCUACUUGUACUAAUACUACCGGGGAGUGAACAUGUCUCGAAAAUAAGCCCUGCGCUAAAUCUGUGCCAGCAGCCGCGGUAAUACAGAGGGUGCGAGCGUUAAUCGGAUUUACUGGGCGUAAAGCGUGCGUAGGCGGCUUUUUAAGUCGGAUGUGAAAUCCCCGAGCUUAACUUGGGAAUUGCAUUCGAUACUGGGGAAGCUAGAGUAUGGGAGAGGAUGGUAGAAUUCCAGGUGUAGCGGUGAAAUGCGUAGAGAUCUGGAGGAAUACCGAUGGCGAAGGCAGCCAUCUGGCCUAAUACUGACGCUGAGGUACGAAAGCAUGGGGAGCAAACAGGAUUAGAUACCCUGGUAGUCCAUGCCGUAAACGAUGUCUACUAGCCGUUGGGGCCUUUGAGGCUUUAGUGGCGCAGCUAACGCGAUAAGUAGACCGCUGGGGAGUACGGUCGCAAGACUAAAACUCAAAUGAAUUGACGGGGGCCCGCACAAGCGGUGGAGCAUGUGGUUUAAUUCGAUGCAACGCGAAGAACCUUACCUGGCCUUGACAUACUAGAAACUUUCCAGAGAUGGAUUGGUGCCUUCGGGAAUCUAGAUACAGGUGCUGCAUGGCUGUCGUCAGCUCGUGUCGUGAGAUGUUGGGUUAAGUCCCGCAACGAGCGCAACC
Molecule: ribosomal RNA, 1047 nt
Filed under: Acinetobacter modestus
Lineage: Bacteria; Pseudomonadati; Pseudomonadota; Gammaproteobacteria; Moraxellales; Moraxellaceae
Description: bacterial SSU rRNA
Rfam family: Bacterial small subunit ribosomal RNA
Source: RNAcentral